Molecule: ribosomal RNA, 236 nt
Filed under: uncultured Candidatus Saccharibacteria bacterium
Lineage: Bacteria; Candidatus Saccharimonadota
Description: partial 16S ribosomal RNA
Rfam family: Bacterial small subunit ribosomal RNA
Source: RNAcentral
UAAGUUGGUAGUGAAAGCGUGGGGCUCAACCCCAUACCCAUUACCAAAACUACUUUGACUAGAGCAUGAGAGAGGUAGCUGGAAUUCCUAGUGUAGGAGUGAAAUCCGUAGAUAUUAGGAGGAACAUCGAUGGCGUAGGCAGGCUACUGGCUCAUUGCUGACGCUCAGGCACGAAAGCGUGGGGAGCGACCGGGAUUAGAUACCCCGUUAGUCCACGCCGUAAACGAUGGAUGCUA